RNAcentral lists this ribosomal RNA (458 nucleotides) under Photobacterium aquimaris. RNAcentral's name for it is "bacterial SSU rRNA". It matches the Rfam family "Bacterial small subunit ribosomal RNA", at positions 1 to 452 of the family's 1533-position model. Lineage: Bacteria; Pseudomonadati; Pseudomonadota; Gammaproteobacteria; Vibrionales; Vibrionaceae. The record is from RNAcentral.
UUAAUUGAAGAGUUUGAUCAUGGCUCAGAUUGAACGCUGGCGGCAGGCCUAACACAUGCAAGUCGAGCGGUAACAGAAAGAAAGCUUGCUUUCUUUGCUGACGAGCGGCGGACGGGUGAGUAAUGCCUGGGAAUAUACCCUGAUGUGGGGGAUAACUAUUGGAAACGAUAGCUAAUACCGCAUAAUCUCUUCGGAGCAAAGAGGGGGACCUUCGGGCCUCUCGCGUCAGGAUUAGCCCAGGUGGGAUUAGCUAGUUGGUGGGGUAAUGGCUCACCAAGGCAACGAUCCCUAGCUGGUCUGAGAGGAUGAUCAGCCACACUGGAACUGAGACACGGUCCAGACUCCUACGGGAGGCAGCAGUGGGGAAUAUUGCACAAUGGGGGAAACCCUGAUGCAGCCAUGCCGCGUGUAUGAAGAAGGCCUUCGGGUUGUAAAGUACUUUCAGUUGUGAGGAAGGC